This 2900-nucleotide ribosomal RNA is filed under the name Klebsiella pneumoniae. RNAcentral describes it as "bacterial LSU rRNA". It matches the Rfam family "Bacterial large subunit ribosomal RNA". The record is from RNAcentral. Lineage: Bacteria; Pseudomonadati; Pseudomonadota; Gammaproteobacteria; Enterobacterales; Enterobacteriaceae.
UUAAGCGACUAAGCGUACACGGUGGAUGCCCUGGCAGUCAGAGGCGAUGAAGGACGUGCUAAUCUGCGAAAAGCGUCGGUAAGGUGAUAUGAACCGUUAUAACCGGCGAUGUCCGAAUGGGGAAACCCAGUGCAAUUCGUUGCACUAUCGUUAACUGAAUACAUAGGUUAACGAGGCGAACCGGGGGAACUGAAACAUCUAAGUACCCCGAGGAAAAGAAAUCAACCGAGAUUCCCCCAGUAGCGGCGAGCGAACGGGGAGCAGCCCAGAGUCUGAAUCAGCUUGUGUGUUAGUGGAACGGUCUGGAAAGUCCGACGGUACAGGGUGAUAGUCCCGUACACCAAAAUGCACAGGCUGUGAACUCGAAGAGUAGGGCGGGACACGUGGUAUCCUGUCUGAAUAUGGGGGGACCAUCCUCCAAGGCUAAAUACUCCUGACUGACCGAUAGUGAACCAGUACCGUGAGGGAAAGGCGAAAAGAACCCCGGCGAGGGGAGUGAAAAAGAACCUGAAACCGUGUACGUACAAGCAGUGGGAGCACCUUCGGGUGUGACUGCGUACCUUUUGUAUAAUGGGUCAGCGACUUAUAUUCUGUAGCAAGGUUAACCGUAUAGGGGAGCCGCAGGGAAACCGAGUCUUAACUGGGCGUUAAGUUGCAGGGUAUAGACCCGAAACCCGGUGAUCUAGCCAUGGGCAGGUUGAAGGUUGGGUAACACUAACUGGAGGACCGAACCGACUAAUGUUGAAAAAUUAGCGGAUGACUUGUGGCUGGGGGUGAAAGGCCAAUCAAACCGGGAGAUAGCUGGUUCUCCCCGAAAGCUAUUUAGGUAGCGCCUCGUGAAUUCAUCUUCGGGGGUAGAGCACUGUUUCGGCUAGGGGGUCAUCCCGACUUACCAACCCGAUGCAAACUACGAAUACCGAAGAAUGUUAUCACGGGAGACACACGGCGGGUGCUAACGUCCGUCGUGAAGAGGGAAACAACCCAGACCGCCAGCUAAGGUCCCAAAGUCAUGGUUAAGUGGGAAACGAUGUGGGAAGGCACAGACAGCCAGGAUGUUGGCUUAGAAGCAGCCAUCAUUUAAAGAAAGCGUAAUAGCUCACUGGUCGAGUCGGCCUGCGCGGAAGAUGUAACGGGGCUAAACCAUGCACCGAAGCUGCGGCAGCGACACUAUGUGUUGUUGGGUAGGGGAGCGUUCUGUAAGCCUGCGAAGGUGACCUGUGAGGGUUGCUGGAGGUAUCAGAAGUGCGAAUGCUGACAUAAGUAACGAUAAAGCGGGUGAAAAGCCCGCUCGCCGGAAGACCAAGGGUUCCUGUCCAACGUUAAUCGGGGCAGGGUGAGUCGACCCCUAAGGCGAGGCCGAAAGGCGUAGUCGAUGGGAAACAGGUUAAUAUUCCUGUACUUGGUGUUACUGCGAAGGGGGGACGGAGAAGGCUAUGUUAGCCGGGCGACGGUUGUCCCGGUUUAAGCAUGUAGGCUGAUUGUCCAGGCAAAUCCGGAUAAUCAAGGCUGAGGUGUGAUGACGAGGCACUACGGUGCUGAAGUAACAAAUGCCCUGCUUCCAGGAAAAGCCUCUAAGCAUCAGGUAACAUCAAAUCGUACCCCAAACCGACACAGGUGGUCAGGUAGAGAAUACCAAGGCGCUUGAGAGAACUCGGGUGAAGGAACUAGGCAAAAUGGUGCCGUAACUUCGGGAGAAGGCACGCUGGUGUGUAGGUGAAGUCCCUGCGGAUGGAGCUGAGACCAGUCGAAGAUACCAGCUGGCUGCAACUGUUUAUUAAAAACACAGCACUGUGCAAACACGAAAGUGGACGUAUACGGUGUGACGCCUGCCCGGUGCCGGAAGGUUAAUUGAUGGGGUUAUCCGUAAGGAGAAGCUCUUGAUCGAAGCCCCGGUAAACGGCGGCCGUAACUAUAACGGUCCUAAGGUAGCGAAAUUCCUUGUCGGGUAAGUUCCGACCUGCACGAAUGGCGUAAUGAUGGCCAGGCUGUCUCCACCCGAGACUCAGUGAAAUUGAACUCGCUGUGAAGAUGCAGUGUACCCGCGGCAAGACGGAAAGACCCCGUGAACCUUUACUAUAGCUUGACACUGAACAUUGAGCCUUGAUGUGUAGGAUAGGUGGGAGGCUUUGAAGCGUGGACGCCAGUCUGCGUGGAGCCAACCUUGAAAUACCACCCUUUAAUGUUUGAUGUUCUAACGUUGGCCCCUGACCGGGGUUGCGGACAGUGUCUGGUGGGUAGUUUGACUGGGGCGGUCUCCUCCCAAAGCGUAACGGAGGAGCACGAAGGUUAGCUAAUCCUGGUCGGACAUCAGGAGGUUAGUGCAAUGGCAUAAGCUAGCUUGACUGCGAGCGUGACGGCGCGAGCAGGUGCGAAAGCAGGUCAUAGUGAUCCGGUGGUUCUGAAUGGAAGGGCCAUCGCUCAACGGAUAAAAGGUACUCCGGGGAUAACAGGCUGAUACCGCCCAAGAGUUCAUAUCGACGGCGGUGUUUGGCACCUCGAUGUCGGCUCAUCACAUCCUGGGGCUGAAGUAGGUCCCAAGGGUAUGGCUGUUCGCCAUUUAAAGUGGUACGCGAGCUGGGUUUAGAACGUCGUGAGACAGUUCGGUCCCUAUCUGCCGUGGGCGCUGGAGAAUUGAGGGGGGCUGCUCCUAGUACGAGAGGACCGGAGUGGACGCAUCACUGGUGUUCGGGUUGUCAUGCCAAUGGCACUGCCCGGUAGCUAAAUGCGGAAGAGAUAAGUGCUGAAAGCAUCUAAGCACGAAACUUGCCCCGAGAUGAGUUCUCCCUGAGACUUUAAGUCUCCUGAAGGAACGUUAAAGACGAUGACGUUGAUAGGCCGGGUGUGUAAGCGCAGCGAUGCGUUGAGCUAACCGGUACUAAUGAACCGUGAGGCUUAACCUU